RNAcentral lists this ribosomal RNA (253 nucleotides) under uncultured bacterium. RNAcentral describes it as "partial 16S ribosomal RNA". It matches the Rfam family "Bacterial small subunit ribosomal RNA", at positions 524 to 776 of the family's 1533-position model. The record is from RNAcentral.
UACGUAGGGGGCAAGCGUUGUCCGGAUUUAUUGGGCGUAAAGAGCGUGUAGGCGGCCAGUUAGGUCCGUUGUGAAAACUCGAGGCUCAACCUCGAGACGCCGAUGGAAACCAACUGGCUAGAGUCCGGAAGAGGAGAGUGGAAUUCCCGGUGUAGCGGUGAAAUGCGUAGAUAUUGGGAGGAACACCGGUGGCGAAGGCGGCUACCUGGACCGGUACUGACGCUGAGGCGCGAAAGCUAGGGUAGCAAACAGG